Molecule: ribosomal RNA, 225 nt
Filed under: uncultured Lactobacillus sp.
Lineage: Bacteria; Bacillati; Bacillota; Bacilli; Lactobacillales; Lactobacillaceae
Description: partial 16S ribosomal RNA
Rfam family: Bacterial small subunit ribosomal RNA
Source: RNAcentral
UCGGGAUAACACCUGGAAACAGAUGCUAAUACCGGAUAACAAACAGAUGAUGCCUAUCAACUGUUUAAAAGAUGGUUCUGCUAUCACUCUUGGAUAGACCUGCGGUGCAUUAGCUAGUUGGUAGGGUAACGGCCUACCAAGGCGAUGAUGCAUAGCCGAGUUGAGAGACUGAUCGGCCACAUUGGGACUGAGACACGGCCCAAACUCCUACGGGAGGCAGCAGCA